UACGGGGGGGGCAAGCGUUGUUCGGAAUUACCGGGCGUAAAGGGCGCGUAGGCGGCCUUCUAAGUCGAACGUGAAAUCCCCGGGCUCAACCCGGGAACUGCGUCCGAUACUGGAAGGCUUGAGUCCGGGAGAGGGAUGCGGAAUUCCAGGUGUAGCGGUGAAAUGCGUAGAUAUCAGGAGGAACACCGGUGGCGAAGGCGGUUCUCUGGGCAUGACCUGACGCUGAGGAGCGAAAGCAUGGGGAGCGAACAGG
Molecule: ribosomal RNA, 253 nt
Filed under: uncultured bacterium
Lineage: Bacteria
Description: partial 16S ribosomal RNA
Rfam family: Bacterial small subunit ribosomal RNA
Source: RNAcentral